Molecule: ribosomal RNA, 776 nt
Filed under: uncultured Neocallimastigales
Lineage: Eukaryota; Fungi; Neocallimastigomycota; Neocallimastigomycetes; Neocallimastigales
Description: partial large subunit ribosomal RNA
Rfam family: Eukaryotic large subunit ribosomal RNA
Source: RNAcentral
GUACACGCUGUGACUAGCAUAUCAAUAAGCGGAGGAAAAGAAACUAACAAGGAUUCCCUUAGUAACGGCGAGUGAAGCGGGAAGAGCUCAAAUUUGAAAUCUUCAAGGUUUUACCUUGACGAAUUGUAGUUUAAAGAAGUGUUUUCUGUUGAAGUUUUGGUAAAAGUUCUUUGGAAUAGGACAUCAUAGAGGGUGAGAAUCCCGUAUUUGACCAUUAUUUUCAGCUUUGUGAUACACUUUCAAAGAGUCGGAUUGUUUGGGAAUGCAGUCCAAAACUGGGAGGUAAAUUUCAUUCUAAGCUAAAUAUUGGCGAGAGACCGAUAGCGAACAAGUACCGUGAGGGAAAGAUGAAAAGAACUUUGAAAAGAGAGUUAAACAGUACGUGAAAUUGUCAAAAGGGAAGCGUUUGACACCAGUGUUGUUUUCUCGAAAAUCAAUUAAAAAUGGCUCGAUUUUGUAUUGCUGAGACCUUAAAAGCUCACUGUACAUUUUUCGUGUCUUUUUUAAUGCACUUUUCGUUUAACAAGUCAACAUCAGUUUCUUUUGUUGUAAAAGGGUCAUUGGAAGGUGGCUUUCUUUUCGGAGAAAGUGUUUAUAGCCUUUGGCCUCUGCAAUCGAAGAGACUGAGGUCUGCAGCGUAGACUCUUCGGGGUUAGAUACAUUUGUGCUAAGUUAUAGCUUUUCAUAGACAACUCGUUGACUAUAGUUAGUCAUUGUAGCUUACUCGCUUAUGCUAUUUUACCUACGCUUAGGAUGUUGACGCAUGAGAUAUACGC